RNAcentral lists this transfer RNA (63 nucleotides) under Crotalus adamanteus (eastern diamondback rattlesnake). RNAcentral describes it as "tRNA-Met". Lineage: Eukaryota; Metazoa; Chordata; Lepidosauria; Squamata; Viperidae. The record is from RNAcentral.
AGUAAAGUCAGCUAAUAAAGCUAUCGGGCCCAUACCCCGAAAAUGUCUACAAGACCCUUACUA